CCUACGGGUGGCAGCAGUAGGGAAUUUUCGGCAAUGGGGGCAACCCUGACCGAGCAACGCAGCGUGAACGAAGAAGUCCCUCGUAAUGUAAAGUUUUUUUUACAGGGAAGUAAGAGAAAUUUGACGGUACCUGAUGAAUAAGCUCUGGCUAACUCCGUGCCAGCAGCCGCGGUAAUACGUCGGGGGCGAGCGUUAUCCGGGAUUAUUGGCCGUAAGGGUUGCGUUAAAGGCAUAGUAAGUCUUUUGGAAAAAUGCUGGGUUCAACCCAGUAGGGCAAAAGAUACUGGAAAACUAGAGUAUGACAGAGGCAAGUGGAACUACAUGUGUAGCGGUAAAAUGCGUAAAUAUAUGUAAGAACACCAGUGGCGAAGGCGGCUUGCUGGGUCGAUACUGACAUUGAGGCACGAAGGCGUGGGGAGCAAACAGGAUUAGAUACCCCUGUAGUC
Molecule: ribosomal RNA, 446 nt
Filed under: uncultured bacterium
Lineage: Bacteria
Description: partial 16S ribosomal RNA
Rfam family: Bacterial small subunit ribosomal RNA
Source: RNAcentral